RNAcentral lists this ribosomal RNA (253 nucleotides) under uncultured bacterium. RNAcentral's name for it is "partial 16S ribosomal RNA". It matches the Rfam family "Bacterial small subunit ribosomal RNA", at positions 524 to 776 of the family's 1533-position model. The record is from RNAcentral.
AACGUAGGUGGCGAGCGUUAUCCGGAUUCAUUGGGCGUAAAGCGCUUGUAGGUGGCCUUGUAAGUUGGACGUGAAAUCUCCCGGCUUAACCGGGAGGGGUCGUUCAAUACUGCAGGGCUGGAGGAUGUCAGAGGGCAGCGGAAUUCCUGGUGUAGCAGUGAAAUGCGUAGAUAUCAGGAGGAACACCCGUGGCGAAGGCGGCUGCCUGGGGCAUCACUGACGCUGAGAAGCGAAAGCGAGGGGAGCGAACGGG